RNAcentral lists this ribosomal RNA (758 nucleotides) under uncultured bacterium. RNAcentral's name for it is "partial 16S ribosomal RNA". The record is from RNAcentral.
UACCUUGUUACGACUUCACCCCAAUCAUCGGCCCCACCUUCGACGACUUGCUCCUCUUUCAAGGUUGCUCCAUCGGCUUCGGGUGUUGCAGACUUUCGUGGUGUGACGGGCGGUGUGUACAAGGCCCGGGAACGUAUUCACCGCGGCGUGCUGAUCCGCGAUUACUAGCGAUUCCGACUUCAUGCAGGCGAGUUGCAGCCUGCAAUCCGAACUGAGACCUGCUUUUUGGGAUUGGCUCCACCUCACGGCUUCGCUACCCUUUGUACAGGCCAUUGUAGCACGUGUGUAGCCCAGGUCAUAAAGGGCAUGAUGAUUUGACGUCAUCCCCACCUUCCUCCGGUUUGUCACCGGCAGUCUCUCUAGAGUGCCCACCUUACGUGCUGGCAACUAAAGAUAAGGGUUGCGCUCGUUGCGGGACUUAACCCAACAUCUCACGACACGAGCUGACGACAACCAUGCACCACCUGUCUCCCUGUCUGUCCGAAGACAAAACAUCUAAUCUCUUAGACUCUCAGGGGAUGUCAAGACCUGGUAAGGUUCUUCGCGUUGCGUCGAAUUAACCACAUGCUCCACCGCUUGUGCGGGCCCCCGUCAAUUCCUUUGAGUUUCAACCUUGCGGCCGUACUCCCCAGGCGGGGUACUUAUUGUGUUAACUCCGGCACAGAAGGGGUCGAUACCUCCUACACCUAGUACCCAUCGGUUACGGCGUGGGCUACCAGGGUAUCUAAUUCUGUUUUGCUCCCAAGGGUUUAGGGCCU